UGGGGAAUUUUGGACAAUGGGCGAAAGCCUGAUCCAGCAAUGCCGCGUGUGUGAAGAAGGCCUUCGGGUUGUAAAGCACUUUUGUCCGGAAAGAAAUCCUCUGGGUUAAUACCUCGGGGGGAUGACGGUACCGGAAGAAUAAGCACCGGCUAACUACGUGCCAGCAGCCGCGGUAAUACGUAGGGUGCAAGCGUUAAUCGGAAUUACUGGGCGUAAAGCGUGCGCAGGCGGUUUUGUAAGACGGAUGUGAAAUCCCCGGGCUUAACCUGGGAACUGCAUUCGUGACUGCAAGGCUAGAGUAUGGCAGAGGGGGGUAGAAUUCCACGUGUAGCAGUGAAAUGCGUAGAGAUGUGGAGGAAUACCGAUGGCGAAGGCAGCCCCCUGGGCCAAUACUGACGCUCAUGCACGAAAGCGUGGGGAGCAAACAGGAUUAGAUACCCUGGUAGUCCACGCCCUAAACGAUGUCAACUAGUUGUUGGGGAUUCAUUUCCUUAGUAACGUAGCUAACGCGUGAAGUUGGCCGCCUGGGGAGUACGGUCGCAAGAUUG
RNAcentral lists this ribosomal RNA (548 nucleotides) under uncultured bacterium. RNAcentral's name for it is "partial 16S ribosomal RNA". It matches the Rfam family "Bacterial small subunit ribosomal RNA", at positions 355 to 896 of the family's 1533-position model. The record is from RNAcentral.